This is a long non-coding RNA of Homo sapiens (human), 1638 nucleotides long. The record is from Ensembl. NCBI's taxonomy places the organism in Eukaryota, Metazoa, Chordata, Mammalia, Primates, Hominidae.
ACCGUUCCACGUGAUUCGGCAGCACUGAAGGCAGCACCCGGGAACUUCUGAUACCAAACUCCGCGAACAGUGACGCAGACCCCACGCUUGCAGACCACACGCUUCCGUACAGACCUCAGCUGCCAGGCGCACUGUGAGCCCCACAGGUGGACCACCGUGACUGUAGAGGCGCUACACGGCCCCACGCACUCCGCAGACGCAGCGUCGCAACCUCGGCAGCCCACCCCACCCCACCCCACUCAACCGGGCCCGCCGCGGCGCCCAGGCGGCAGGCAGCAAGGACAGCCUUGUGCGAGCCCGAUCUGGGCCUUCCUGGGCGCGGCUACCGCAAGAGCUUAACGGAUCAGCUACCUGGGGCUCUCCCGUAGGAUCAGCGCCGCGGGGACCGCCAUCUUCGGCUUUCUCGCACUGCCGCCGUCUGUUAGCUGCGCCGAACCCAGCCAAUGGCGGCCGCGGCGGACGGAAAGCCGGAAGGCCCAAGCCGCGCAGGGGCCGUUUUAGGGCUCCGGGUCUCCUGCGACCCGGGCGCCGGGAGACUUGUCCCGCAGUCCUGGAGGGCGGAGAGGGCAGCCCAGUUGCCCUCCCGACACUCCAAUCGUGUUGGAGUUAAGUCUGUGCAUAUAUAUGUCUUUAUAUUUAUAUAUUAUAUAUGUAUGUACAUACCUGGAUAGGGGUGUGUGUCUGUAUUUAAUAGGGCAGGUUUAAGCAAGUCUAUGUACAGACCUGUAUAGAUAUAUGUGUGUAUGUUCGUGCAUAAAUAUAUACAUUAUUAUUUUUAAUAGGGCAGGUUUAAGCAAGCCCGUGUAUACAUACUUGGAUAAAUGGUGUGUGCGUGUGUAUAUUUUUUUAAUAGGGCGGGUUUAAGUGAGCCUGUGUGUACAUACUUGGAUAGGUGAUUUGUGAGUAUUUUUUUUUCCAGCGUUUGGGCUACAGAGAGGCAGGCAUUUGAGCGAGCUCCCCCGAGCCUGCCCAGGAAGCGGCGCAUCACCCCUCAGGAGAGGUGGUGCCUCCAGUUCCACCCUAAGCACUGUGCCGUCAACCCCUCCUGUAUCUGCAUCUGCAGGGCUUGUAGUAUGUACGUUCAAUUCCUUCAGCAACGUUCAAUGAAUGAGUGCCUACUGUGUACCAAGCACUGUUCUAGGCACUGGAGAUACAAAAGGCCAAAAUUCCUGCCCUCAGGGUUUGCCGGCAGUCUAAAUGGACAAGUAUUUGUUGCACCCUUCUUUAGAGUCUGACAGUGCAGAGUAGGGGAGAUGAAUCGCUGCAGUGAGUGAUGUCAAAGACCUCACCCAAGACUAGGGAGACACCAUGUUUGCAUAAAUACCUUGGUCUGCCUUUGAGAAAAACAUGGAGUGAGUUAAAGGAAUUCAGAUGUGGGAGCAGUGAAAGGCAUCCGAGGUAAGAUCAGGAAAAGCUCCCUAGGGCAGGUGGCAAAUGCGGUGGGUCUGCAGAGAUGUGGAGGGUGAGGCUGUGUGUUUCAGGUCAGUAGAGUAGAAGGGCGGUUUGACGUUUGAAGAACAGGAAUUUAGACUAGAAAAAGCCUUUAAUGACUGGUUGUGGCAUGUGCACUUAAUCUGGUGAGAAAUGGGUAAGCAUUAAAUGUUUUUUCUAUCCAUUAAAUGUUUUGAACCAAAGAAA